This 253-nucleotide ribosomal RNA is filed under the name uncultured bacterium. RNAcentral describes it as "partial 16S ribosomal RNA". It matches the Rfam family "Bacterial small subunit ribosomal RNA", at positions 524 to 776 of the family's 1533-position model. The record is from RNAcentral.
UACGUAGGGGGCUAGCGUUGUCCGGAAUCAUUGGGCGUAAAGAGCGUGUAGGCGGUCCGGUAAGUCCGCUGUGAAAGUCGGGGGCUCAACCCUCGAAUGCCGGUGGAUACUGUCGGGCUAGAGUGCGGAAGAGGCGAGUGGAAUUCCUGGUGUAGCGGUGAAAUGCGCAGAUAUCAGGAGGAACACCUAUUGCGAAGGCAGCUCGCUGGGACGUAACUGACGCUGAGGCACGAAAGCGUGGGGAGCGAACCGG